AGAAGAAGAGAAGAAGAAGAAGAAGACGAAGCGUCUUUUCUUCUCUUCUGAAAUUUUUGCAGAGAGAUUCUUCUUUUUUCUUCUGUUUUCUGUGUUACUGUGUGGUUAUUCAGAUCGAAUUGUUGAAGCAGUUCGUGUUUGAUUUCGGAGAUUCGUCUUCACAGUCCCGCGCGCCGUUUUUGGUUUAUUUGUUUUCGAUUUUGGAUCUAAACCUUGUUUAA
This is a non-coding RNA of Vicia faba (fava bean), 221 nucleotides long. The record is from the annotation of a GenBank genome assembly. NCBI's taxonomy places the organism in Eukaryota, Viridiplantae, Streptophyta, Magnoliopsida, Fabales, Fabaceae.